UCUACGGGGGACAGCAGUGAGGAAUAUUGGUCAAUGGGCGAGAGCCUGAACCAGCCAAGUCGCGUGAGGGAGUACUGUCCUAUGGGUUGUAAACCUCUUUUGUCGGGGAGCAAAAGCCGGACGUGGCCCGCUGUGAGAGUAACCGGAGAAAAAGCAUCAGCUAAAGCCGUGCCAACAGCCGCGGUUAUAAUGGGGAUGCGAACGUUUACCGGAUUUAGUGGGUUUAAAGGGGGCGCAGGCGGGUUUUUAAGUCAGCGGUAAAAUCGUGGGGCGCAACCCCAUCGAGCCGUUGAAACUGGGGAUCUAGAGUGUGCGAGAGGUAUGCGGAAUGCGUGGUGUAGCGGUGAAAUGCAUAGAUAUCACGCAGAACCCCGAUUGCGAAGGCAGCAUACCGGUGCAACACUGACGCUCAGGCACGAAAGCGUGGGUAUCGAACAGGAUUAGAUACCCCAGUAGUC
Molecule: ribosomal RNA, 458 nt
Filed under: uncultured bacterium
Lineage: Bacteria
Description: partial 16S ribosomal RNA
Rfam family: Bacterial small subunit ribosomal RNA
Source: RNAcentral